UACGUAGGGUGCGAGCGUUAUUCGGAAUUACUGGGCGUAAAGCGUGCGCAGGCGGUUUUGUAAGCCGGAUGUGAAAUCCCCGGGCUUAACCUGGGAAUGGCAUUCGGGACUGCAAGGCUGGAGUGCGGCAGAGGAGACUGGAAUUCCUGGUGUAGCAGUGAAAUGCGUAGAUAUCAGGAGGAACACCGAUGGCGAAGGCAGGUCUCUGGGCUGACACUGACGCUCAUGCACGAAAGCGUGGGGAGCAAACAGG
Molecule: ribosomal RNA, 253 nt
Filed under: uncultured bacterium
Lineage: Bacteria
Description: partial 16S ribosomal RNA
Rfam family: Bacterial small subunit ribosomal RNA
Source: RNAcentral